This 914-nucleotide ribosomal RNA is filed under the name Salmonella enterica. RNAcentral's name for it is "partial 23S ribosomal RNA". It matches the Rfam family "Bacterial large subunit ribosomal RNA", at positions 1281 to 2178 of the family's 2925-position model. Lineage: Bacteria; Pseudomonadati; Pseudomonadota; Gammaproteobacteria; Enterobacterales; Enterobacteriaceae. The record is from RNAcentral.
AUCAGAAGUGCGAAUGCUGACAUAAGUAACGAUAAAGCGGGUGAAAAGCCCGCUCGCCGGAAGACCAAGGGUUCCUGUCCAACGUUAAUCGGGGCAGGGUGAGUCGACCCCUAAGGCGAGGCCGAAAGGCGUAGUCGAUGGGAAACGGGUUAAUAUUCCCGUACUUGGUGUUACUGCGAAGGGGGGACGGAGAAGGCUAUGUUGGCCGGGCGACGGUUGUCCCGGUUUAAGCGUGUAGGUGUGUGUUCCAGGUAAAUCCGGUUCACUUUAACACUGAGGCGUGACGACGAGGCACUACGGUGCUGAAGCAACAAAUGCCCUGCUUCCAGGAAAAGCCUCUAAGCAUCAGGUAACAUCAAAUCGUACCCCAAACCGACACAGGUGGUCAGGUAGAGAAUACCAAGGCGCUUGAGAGAACUCGGGUGAAGGAACUAGGCAAAAUGGUGCCGUAACUUCGGGAGAAGGCACGCUGACACGUAGGUGAAGUGAUUUACUCAUGGAGCUGAAGUCAGUCGAAGAUACCAGCUGGCUGCAACUGUUUAUUAAAAACACAGCACUGUGCAAACACGAAAGUGGACGUAUACGGUGUGACGCCUGCCCGGUGCCGGAAGGUUAAUUGAUGGGGUCAGCGCAAGCGAAGCUCCUGAUCGAAGCCCCGGUAAACGGCGGCCGUAACUAUAACGGUCCUAAGGUAGCGAAAUUCCUUGUCGGGUAAGUUCCGACCUGCACGAAUGGCGUAAUGAUGGCCAGGCUGUCUCCACCCGAGACUCAGUGAAAUUGAACUCGCUGUGAAGAUGCAGUGUACCCGCGGCAAGACGGAAAGACCCCGUGAACCUUUACUAUAGCUUGACACUGAACAUUGAGCCUUGAUGUGUAGGAUAGGUGGGAGGCUUUGAAGCGUGGACGCCAGUCUG